This 252-nucleotide ribosomal RNA is filed under the name uncultured bacterium. RNAcentral describes it as "partial 16S ribosomal RNA". It matches the Rfam family "Bacterial small subunit ribosomal RNA", at positions 524 to 776 of the family's 1533-position model. The record is from RNAcentral.
UACGUAGGUCCCGAGCGCUGUCCGGAUUUAUUGGGCGUAAAGCGAGCGCAGGUGGUUUAUUAAGUCUGGUGUAAAAGGCAGUGGCUCAACCAUUGUAUGCAUUGGAAACUGGUAGACUUGAGUGCAGGAGAGGAGAGUGGAAUUCCAUGUGUAGCGGUGAAAUGCGUAGAUAUAUGGAGGAACACCGGUGGCGAAAGCGGCUCUCUGGCCUGUAACUGGCACUGAGGCUCGAAAGCGUGGGGAGCAAACAGG